GAUGAACGCUGGCGGCGUGCCUAAUACAUGCAAGUCGAGCGAACGGACGAGAAGCUUGCUUCUCUGAUGUUAGCGGCGGACGGGUGAGUAACACGUGGAUAACCUACCUAUAAGACUGGGAUAACUUCGGGAAACCGUAGCUAAUACCGGAUAAUAUUUUGAACCGCAUGGUUCAAAAGUGAAAGACGGUCUUGCUGUCACUUAUAGAUGGAUCCGCGCUGCAUUAGCUAGUUGGUAAGGUAACGGCUUACCAAGGCAACGAUGCAUAGCCGACCUGAGAGGGGGAUCGCCCACACUGGAACUGAGACACGGACCAGACUCCUGCGGGAGGCAGCAGUAGGGAAUCUUCCGCAAUGGGCGAGAGCCUUACGGAGCAACGCCGCGUGAGUGAUGAAGGUCUUCGGAUCGUAAAACUCUGUUAUUAGGGAAGAACAUAUGUGUAAGUAACUGUGCACAUCUUGACGGUACCUAAUCAGAAAGCCACGGCUAACUACGUG
This 497-nucleotide ribosomal RNA is filed under the name uncultured bacterium. RNAcentral's name for it is "partial 16S ribosomal RNA". It matches the Rfam family "Bacterial small subunit ribosomal RNA", at positions 28 to 507 of the family's 1533-position model. The record is from RNAcentral.